Molecule: transfer RNA, 73 nt
Filed under: Lachnospiraceae bacterium
Lineage: Bacteria; Bacillati; Bacillota; Clostridia; Lachnospirales; Lachnospiraceae
Also listed under: 1 other name
Description: tRNA-Gln
Rfam family: tRNA
About the family: Transfer RNA (tRNA) molecules are approximately 80 nucleotides in length. Their secondary structure includes four short double-helical elements and three loops (D, anti-codon, and T loops).
Source: RNAcentral
UGGCCCAUCGCCAAAUGGUAAGGCACUGGACUCUGACUCCAGCAUUCUCAAGGUUCGAAUCCUUGUGGGCCAG